AGGGAGUACGUAUAAAAUGAAUGAGGAC
This 28-nucleotide non-coding RNA is filed under the name Rattus norvegicus (Norway rat). The record is from RNAcentral. Lineage: Eukaryota; Metazoa; Chordata; Mammalia; Rodentia; Muridae.